UACGAAGGGGGCUAGCGUUGCUCGGAAUCACUGGGCGUAAAGCGCACGUAGGCGGAUCUUUAAGUCAGGGGUGAAAUCCCAAGGCUCAACCUUGGAACUGCCUUUGAUACUGGGGAUCUCGAGUCCGGAAGAGGUUGGUGGAACUGCGAGUGUAGAGGUGAAAUUCGUAGAUAUUCGCAAGAACACCAGUGGCGAAGGCGGCUCACUGGCCCGGAACUGACGCUGAGACGCGAAAGCGUGGGGAGCGAACAGG
This 253-nucleotide ribosomal RNA is filed under the name uncultured bacterium. Its description in RNAcentral is "partial 16S ribosomal RNA". It matches the Rfam family "Bacterial small subunit ribosomal RNA", at positions 524 to 776 of the family's 1533-position model. The record is from RNAcentral.